UUACUCGCUUCCCCUUUUAAACUAUUUUUUAUUCUAUCUCCAUAUAUUCUUCUACACUCAUUCAUUUGUUCCUCAUUUAUUAAAAAAACAUCAUAUUAUUUUCUUCUUAACAUUAAACUCUUAUAAACAUGAUGAUUACCCCAUUUUUUUUUCUUAUGCUUACAUCUAAAAUUUGAAUUUUUAACUUUAAAUGAUUUGGGUUUUUUGUUACUAAUGUUUAUUUUUCAAAGUUAACUUUUAAAUUGCUAAAGAAUACAUACAUCAAAAUUUUUAGCCAUAAAUUAUUUUUUAUUUAUAAAUAUAUCUAUUGAUUUUUUUUCAGCCAACCACUCCUAGUAUACGGCUUUGCAUGGUUGCGUUGUCAGGGCGACC
RNAcentral lists this long non-coding RNA (372 nucleotides) under Oryza brachyantha (malo sina). Its description in RNAcentral is "long non-coding RNA (OBRA_LNC002725)". The record is from RNAcentral. Lineage: Eukaryota; Viridiplantae; Streptophyta; Magnoliopsida; Poales; Poaceae.